AGAGUUUGAUCCUGGCUCAGAAUCAACGCUGGCGGCGUGCCUAACACAUGCAAGUCGAACGGGAAAGGGUCCUUCGGGGCCUGAGUAGAGUGGCGAACGGGUGAGUAACACGUGGAUGAUCUGCCCUGUAGUGGGGGAUAACCCGGCGAAAGCCGGGCUAAUACCGCAUGAGCCGGACGAUGCGAGUCGUUUGGGAAAGGCCCUUCGGGGUCGCUGCAGGAGGAGUCCGCGUCCGAUUAGCUGGUUGGUGGGGUAAGGGCCUACCAAGGCGUCGAUCGGUAGCCGGUCUGAGAGGACGGACGGCCACACUGGGACUGAGACACGGCCCAGACUCCUACGGGAGGCAGCAGUGGGGAAUUUUGCGCAAUGGGGGCAACCCUGACGCAGCAACGCCGCGUGGAGGAGGAAGGCCCUCGGGUCGUAAACUCCUGUCCUUGGGGAAGAAGUAUUGACGGUACCCUUGGAGGAAGCCCCGGCUAACUCCGUGCCAGCAGCCGCGGUAACACGGGGGGGGCGAGCGUUGUUCGGAUUUACUGGGCGUAAAGGGCGCGUAGGCGGCGCCGGAAGUCCUGGGUGAAAGGUGCUGGCUCAACCGGUGACAGGGCCUGGGAAACCACGGUGCUUGAGUGCUGGAGA
RNAcentral lists this ribosomal RNA (636 nucleotides) under uncultured bacterium. Its description in RNAcentral is "bacterial SSU rRNA". It matches the Rfam family "Bacterial small subunit ribosomal RNA", at positions 8 to 655 of the family's 1533-position model. The record is from RNAcentral.